Molecule: ribosomal RNA, 468 nt
Filed under: uncultured bacterium
Lineage: Bacteria
Description: partial 16S ribosomal RNA
Rfam family: Bacterial small subunit ribosomal RNA
Source: RNAcentral
GACGAACGCUGGCGGCGUGCUUAACACAUGCAAGUCGAACGGAAAGGCCCUGCUUUUGUGGGGUGCUCGAGUGGCGAACGGGUGAGUAACACGUGAGUAACCUGCCCUUGACUUUGGGAUAACUUCAGGAAACUGGGGCUAAUACCGGAUAGGAGCUCCUGCUGCAUGGUGGGGGUUGGAAAGUUUCGGCGGUUGGGGAUGGACUCGCGGCUUAUCAGCUUGUUGGUGGGGUAGUGGCUUACCAAGGCUUUGACGGGUAGCCGGCCUGGGAGGGUGACCGGCCACAUUAGGACUAAGAUACGGCCCAGACUCCAACGGGAGGCAGCAGUGGGGAGUAUUGCACAAUGGGCGGGAGCCUGAUGAGGCAACGCCGCGUGCGGGAUGACGGCCUUCGGGUUGUAAACCGCUUUCGCCUGUGACGAAGCGUGAGUGACGGUAAUGGGUAAAGAAGCACCGGCUAACUACGUG